Molecule: non-coding RNA, 69 nt
Organism: Rattus norvegicus (Norway rat)
Lineage: Eukaryota; Metazoa; Chordata; Mammalia; Rodentia; Muridae
Source: Rfam
GGGGACUUAGCUCAGUGGUAGAGCGCUUGCCUAGCAAGCACAAGGCCCUGGGUUCGGUCCUCAGCUCCA